ACGCACGCUGGCGGCAUGCCUCACCCAUGCCGGUCGAACGAGACCUUCGGGUCUAGUGGCGCACGGGUGCGUAACGCGUGGGAACCUGCCCUUAGGUUCGGAAUAACUCCCCGAAAGGGGUGCUAAUACCGGAUAAUGUCUUCGGACCAAAGAUUUAUCGCCUUUGGAUGGGCCCGCGUUGGAUUAGCUAGUUGGUAGGGUAAAAGCCUACCAAGGCGACGAUCCAUAGCUGGUCUGAGAGGAUGAUCAGCCACACUGGGACUGAGACACGGCCCAGACUCCUACGGGAGGCAGCAGUGGGGAAUAUUGGACAAUGGGCGAAAGCCUGAUCCAGCAAUGCCGCGUGAGUGAUGAAGGCCUUAGGGUUGUAAAGCUCUUUUACCCGGGAUGAUAAUGACAGUACCGGGAGAAUAAGCUCCGGCUAACUCCGUG
RNAcentral lists this ribosomal RNA (432 nucleotides) under uncultured bacterium. Its description in RNAcentral is "partial 16S ribosomal RNA". It matches the Rfam family "Bacterial small subunit ribosomal RNA", at positions 29 to 507 of the family's 1533-position model. The record is from RNAcentral.